UAGCUGGUCUGAGAGGAUGACCAGCCACACUGGAACUGAGACACGGUCCAGACUCCUACGGGAGGCAGCAGUGGGGAAUAUUGCACAAUGGGCGCAAGCCUGAUGCAGCCAUGCCGCGUGUGUGAAGAAGGCCUUCGGGUUGUAAAGCACUUUCAGCGGGGAGGAAGGCGUUGAGGUUAAUAACCUUGUCGAUUGACGUUACCCGCAGAAGAAGCACCGGCUAACUCCGUGCCAGCAGCCGCGGUAAUACGGAGGGUGCAAGCGUUAAUCGGAAUUACUGGGCGUAAAGCGCACGCAGGCGGUCUGUCAAGUCGGAUGUGAAAUCCCCGGGCUCAACCUGGGAACUGCAUUCGAAACUGGCAGGCUAGAGUCUUGUAGAGGGGGGUAGAAUUCCAGGUGUAGCGGUGAAAUGCGUAGAGAUCUGGAGGAAUACCGGUGGCGAAGGCGGCCCCCUGGACAAAGACUGACGCUCAGGUGCGAAAGCGUGGGGAGCAAACAGGAUUAGAUACCCUGGUAGUCCACGCCGUAAACGAUGUCGAUUUGGAGGUUGUGCCCUUGAGGCGUGGCUUCCGGAGCUAACGCGUUAAAUCGACCGCCUGGGGAGUACGGCCGCAAGGUUAAAACUCAAAUGAAUUGACGGGGGCCCGCACAAGCGGUGGAGCAUGUGGUUUAAUUCGAUGCAACGCGAAGAACCUUACCUGGUCUUGACAUCCACAGAACUUUCCAGAGAUGGAUUGGUGCCUUCGGGAACUGUGAGACAGGUGCUGCAUGGCUGUCGUCAGCUCGUGUUGUGAAAUGUUGGGUUAAGUCCCGCAACGAGCGCAACCCUUAUCCUUUGUUGCCAGCGGUCCGGCCGGGAACUCAAAGGAGACUGCCAGUGAUAAACUGGAGGAAGGUGGGGAUGACGUCA
Molecule: ribosomal RNA, 910 nt
Filed under: Klebsiella sp. GN-07
Lineage: Bacteria; Pseudomonadati; Pseudomonadota; Gammaproteobacteria; Enterobacterales; Enterobacteriaceae
Description: bacterial SSU rRNA
Rfam family: Bacterial small subunit ribosomal RNA
Source: RNAcentral